CAGCAUUCAGAAGCGAGAAUGUUGACAUGAGUAGCGACAAAGCGGGUGAGAGACCCGCUCGCCGAAAGUCCAAGGGUUCCUGCUUAAAGCUAAUCUGAGCAGGGUGAGCCGACCCCUAAGGCGAGGCCGAAAGGCGUAGUCGAUGGGAACCGGGUUAAUAUUCCCGGGCCAGGAGGAAGUGACGGAUCGCAGAGCUUGUUCGACCUUAUCGGAUUGGUCGGGCCUGUGAGCGGUUCCUGGAAAUAGCCCUCCAUGAGAUCGUACCCUAAACCGACACAGGUGGACUGGUAGAGCAUACCAAGGCGCUUGAGAGAACUACGUUGAAGGAACUCGGCAAAAUACCUCCGUAACUUCGGGAGAAGGAGGCCCCGUUGGCGCGCAAGCGUUGGCGGGGGGCACAAACCAGGGGGUGGCGACUGUUUACUAAAAACACAGGACUCUGCGAAGCCCAAAGGCGACGUAUAGGGUCUGACGCCUGCCCGGUGCCGGAAGGUUAAAAGGAGGGGUGCAAGCUCCGAAUUGAAGCCCCGGUAAACGGCGGCCGUAACAAUAACGGUCCUAAGGUAGCGAAAUUCCUUGUCGGGUAAGUUCCGACCUGCACGAAUGGCGUAACGACUUCCCCGCUGUCUCCAACGUAGACUCAGCGAAAUUGAACUCCCCGUGAAGAUGCGGGGUUCCCGCGGUCAGACGGAAAGACCCCGUGCACCUUUACUACAGCUUCACACUGGCAUCAGGCCAGGCAUGUGCAGGAUAGGUGGUAGGCUUUGAAACAGGGACGCCAGUUCCUGCGGAGCCACCCUUGAGAUACCACCCUUGCCUUGCCUGAUGUCUAACCGCGGACCGUCAUCCGGUUCCGGGACCUUGUGUGGCGGGUAGUUUGACUGGGGCGGUCGCCUCCCAAAGAGUAACGGAGGCGCGCGAUGGUGGGCUCAGGUUGGUCGGAAAUCAACCGUCGAGUGCAAUGGCAUAAGCCCGCCUGACUGCGAGACUGACAAGUCGAGCAGAGACGAAAGUCGGCCAUAGUGAUCCGGUGGUCCCGCGUGGAAGGGCCAUCGCUCAACGGAUAAAAGGUACGCCGGGGAUAACAGGCUGACACUGCCCAAGAGUCCAUAUCGACGGCAGUGUUUGGCACCUCGAUGUCGGCUCAUCACAUCCUGGGGCUGGAGAAGGUCCCAAGGGUACGGCUGUUCGCCGUUUAAAGUGGUACGUGAGCUGGGUUUAGAACGUCGUGAGACAGUUCGGUCCCUAUCUGCCGUGGGUGUCGGAGACUUGAGAGGAGUUGCCCCUAGUACGAGAGGACCGGGGUGAACGCACCACUGGUGGACCUGUUGUCGUGCCAACGGCAGUGCAGGGUAGCUAUGUGCGGACAGGAUAACCGCUGAAGGCAUCUAAGCGGGAAGCCCCCCUCGAAACCAGGUCUCCCUUGAGGGCCGUGGAAGACCACCACGUCGAUAGGCCGGAGGUCCAAGCGCGGUAACGCGUUCAGCUGACCGGUACUAAUCGCCCU
RNAcentral lists this ribosomal RNA (1507 nucleotides) under metagenome. RNAcentral's name for it is "bacterial LSU rRNA". It matches the Rfam family "Bacterial large subunit ribosomal RNA", at positions 1276 to 2911 of the family's 2925-position model. The record is from RNAcentral.